UGUUUCGUUGAGUUAUUGAGCGGAUUCCGUGAUCAUUUCUGCAAGCAACUUGACAACAGCACUGUGGGAAUUCGUUCCACAAUUAGUAGGUUGUCACAAUUUCUGAAAGAACAUGAUGAAGAGCUUUGGCGCCAUCUAGAGAUCACAACUAAAGUAAGAUAUCUUUGCAAAAUUCAUGCUUAUUGUAUUGUUUCGGUUAUCUUAUCAUACGUUGUCAUCUUUUUCAUUCGACUCAUGCUUGCCUCUGUCAACUAACCCCACCUAGGAGUGUAAUUGAGCAAGUUGAGCUCAAGCUCUACGAAGUUUGAGUGAUCAACUCGAAACUCAGGGCUUGAUGUUUUGCUUGAGCUUAAUCAAAUUUCAUUUUUAAAGCUUGAACUUGAUUAGAUAUAAAAACCGAAUUUCUUGAACUUGCUCAAUUAAGCUUAUUUACCUAGUAAAAGCUACGUUUAAUCCCAUGCUCGACUUAAAACAUGAUUUGUUUAAUGCUAAAGCUUAACUUAGAAUUUAGAAAUAUCAAUACAAAUUAAGAAUAAAUAUAUAUUAAUUAAAAAGUUUGAUUAGUCUUGCAAGCUAUCUGAGUAUUAAAAUACUUGAAAUCAACUUGCUCAAUAGCUGGAGCUGCUCGAAAAUUAGCUCAAGCUUGAUUAGAAAAUGACUGAGCUGAAUUGGAGUUUUUUAAGCCAAAUCUGAAUAGCAUGUAUGGCAUCUUAUUUACACCUCUAACCUCACCUCCUCUACAAUGUGACCCCCAGUCCCUCAUCAUUUCUUGCCAAUUCAAGUAGUUCAGCUUAAUGCUAAUUGCUGUGCAUAAAUAUCACAGGUCAACCCCCAGUUUUAUGCAUUUAGGUGGAUUACUCUGCUCUUGACACAAGAAUUCAAUUUUGCGGACAGCCUUCAUAUCUGGGACACGCUUUUAAGUGACCCUGAAGGUCCUUUGGUAUGAUCCCUCUCUAGAUUUUUACUCAAAGCUUGUUAGGUUGAUAAAUGGUUGUAGUAAUUUGGGAUGAUUUCACAAUCACUUUCUGUUGUCUUUGAAAUUUGUUCAAAUGUCAUAGGGCUGAUGCGACCCAAAUUGUACCUAAUUUUGGAGUCGUAAUUGGAUUCUUCAAUUUUUCCAUCUGUUUUGCUUUGAUCAAAUACACAUGAUUACUUAGGCUUGGGGAUGUCUGUAUUGCUCUGAGUCCUCAUUUACCUUGAAUUACCAGUUGCCGACACUCUUGUCCGAUACAUAUUUGGACAUUGGUACGGAGAUAUCCCCCACAAAAUAUGUGAAAAAUGUUUAGAAAAGUUAAAUAUACUUUGUUGGACACAUAAUCAUGUAUAAUACUAACACUGAAUCCAAGUAGCGUAGGGGAUUUUUAUGGAUUCUUCUAAA
This 1378-nucleotide long non-coding RNA is filed under the name Gossypium barbadense (sea-island cotton). RNAcentral's name for it is "long non-coding RNA (GBAR_LNC002262)". The record is from RNAcentral. Lineage: Eukaryota; Viridiplantae; Streptophyta; Magnoliopsida; Malvales; Malvaceae.